RNAcentral lists this ribosomal RNA (422 nucleotides) under uncultured bacterium. Its description in RNAcentral is "partial 16S ribosomal RNA". It matches the Rfam family "Bacterial small subunit ribosomal RNA", at positions 360 to 774 of the family's 1533-position model. The record is from RNAcentral.
AAUUUUGGACAUUGGGGGAAACCCUGAUCCAGUCAUCCCGUGUGUAGGAUGAUGGCCUACGGGUUGUAAAUUACGUUUGGCAGAGAAGAAAAGGUAUCUCCUAAUACGCGCUACUGCUCACGGUAGCUGCAGAUUAAGCACCGGCUCACUACGUGCCAGCAGCCGCGGGAAUACGUAGGGUCCAAGCGUUAAUCGGAAUUACUGGGCGUAAAGCGUGUGUAGGCGGUUCAGAAAGAAAGAUGUGAAAUCCCAGGGCUCAACCUUGGAACUGCAUUUUUAACUGCCGAGCUAGAGUAUGUCAGAGGGGAGUAGAAUUCCACGUGUAGCAGUGAAAUGCGUAGAUAUGUGGAGGAAUACCGAUGGCGAAGGCAGCCCCCUGGGAUAAUACUGACGCUCAGACACGAAAGCGUGGGGAGCAAACA